GGAUGGACGUAGGCAGGAAAAGGGGGAGACAGAUGAGCAGAGAGACACGGGUGUUAUUGGGAGAUCUGCGCUGUGGAGGAUGUGAAGUUUACAAUAGCUGUUUCCCGGCGCAGCCACUAGAGGGCACUAUUCACCACACCCCCCCAUAGGAACCUCUGUUUGGUUUUGAGCAGGUAUGUCAACAGGAAGUGUGGUGGCAUGAUGACGCUUCUCGACCGCUGCUCUGAGUCAAAGAGAAAAAAAAGGAAGCUGAGGGAGAGGAGGAGGAGGGGGAGGAAGACAGAGGCAGGAGAGCAGAGGAGCGGUGUGGCUCCAAACCACAUCCUCCUUCGCUCGGACUGCGGGCCCCCGUUUCCAUGGCGACUGCACCCCGGAACUGAGCCGGCGUUGGGAUGACGACAGCGGUGCCGGCAAGGCAGGGCCUUCCCAGCAUGCUCGGGUGCAGACAGGAAGCCGAAAGUGCGAUCAGCAGGAGGAUGAAGAGGGACAGAGUAAGACAGAUGACCAGAGGGACGAUGCUGACACUCUUUCUCUCCGUGUCCCACCUUUCGGCGACCCUGCCCCCCUCUCCCUGUCAGCGGGACGUCCCUGGGUGCCCCGAGUCCACAACAGCGCAGGACAGCAGCCUCAGUCUCGGCGCCCCUACGGUCACAGAGCGGGGCGCCCACGCGGCGCGCCCCCCUGCCUCCACACCGGGGGUACCUCCCUACCACAGCCCCCACCCCCCCACCCGCGCCUCCUGGGGGGGCAGCUCCUGCGGGGCGGGGUUCGGGUUCCGCGGGGUGCGCCUGACCUGCCUGGUGACCCUGUGGGCCCUGGGGGUCACGGCGGCCGUGUUCCUGGGGCUCACCGUCUUCCUGUGCGUGCGCCUCUCCGCCCAGCGGCGGGCAGGCAAGUGGCGGCUCCGCGGGCGGGGGCGCGGGGGCGGCCAGCCCACCAGGAGGAGAGGGGACCCCGAGGAGCCCAGCCUGUGGCUGCAGCCCCGGGUCACCCCGGAGCAGAUCGCCGAGUUCUGGUACAGCGCCGGGACGAGAGAGGGGUGCGGCCAGGACAGGGACUGAGAGAGGGGGGGCAGCACGGGGGGCGGCGGCGACCUUUCGUGCAGGACCUUUCAAAGGUCAAAGGUCAGCGAGGGGCGGCUCUUUCAGAAUCGGAGAUCCGGGGCGGUGGCGCGAGGAUGCGAACCCGGGACCUCCUUCUCGAUGAGGAUAACGAACCGGCUGGCCUGGGGGUCUCCGGCUCCAGCCCCCACCUGAUUCGACGACCAAAACUGCGCACCCCUUCUCUGUUAAUACCCCCCAAAAUCAGGAACUGACCCCCUGCACCCCAGUGAUUCUCAACUGGGGGAUGUGGGGGGCACGUCAUUGGAGACUUUGGGUUUUGGGGGGAGCAGCCCCAUCCAGAGACGCGACAGGGAGGAGGUCAGCAGAAGAAAUGGGGGAAAACGGGUUACCCCAGAACAAUAAAACAUUCCCAUCUGGGGCUCCAGUUAAUUGUCAUUAAUUUUAUAAAA
Molecule: long non-coding RNA, 1513 nt
Filed under: Lepisosteus oculatus (spotted gar)
Lineage: Eukaryota; Metazoa; Chordata; Actinopteri; Semionotiformes; Lepisosteidae
Description: lncRNA (ENSLOCG00000022249.1)
Source: RNAcentral